CGGGGAAGUAACUCAGUUGGUUAGAGUAGUGGUCUGUCACGCCAUUUGUCGCGGGUUCAAAUCCCGUCUUUCCCGA
This 76-nucleotide transfer RNA is filed under the name Cyanophora biloba. RNAcentral describes it as "tRNA-Asp". It matches the Rfam family "tRNA". From Rfam's summary of the family: Transfer RNA (tRNA) molecules are approximately 80 nucleotides in length. The record is from RNAcentral. Lineage: Eukaryota; Glaucocystophyceae; Cyanophorales; Cyanophoraceae.